UACGAAAGGUGCAAGCGUUACUCGGAAUCACUGGGCGUAAAGCGCACGUAGGCGGACUUACAGGUCAAUUGUGAAAUACCUGAGCUCAACUCAGGAACUGCAGUUGAAACCGUUUGUCUUGAAUACCUGAGAGGGUGGGGGAAUACCUGGUGGAGAAGUGAAAUUCGUAGAUAUCUGCAGGAACACCCGUGGCGAAAGCGGCGCGCUGGACCACUACUGACGCUGAGGAACGAAAGCUAGGGGAGCAAACAGG
Molecule: ribosomal RNA, 253 nt
Filed under: uncultured bacterium
Lineage: Bacteria
Description: partial 16S ribosomal RNA
Rfam family: Bacterial small subunit ribosomal RNA
Source: RNAcentral